GAUGAACGCUAGCUACAGGCUUAACACAUGCAAGUCGAGGGGCAGCAUGGUCUUAGCUUGCUAAGGCCGAUGGCGACCGGCGCACGGGUGAGUAACGCGUAUCCAACCUGCCUUACACUCUUGGACAGCCUUCUGAAAGGGAGAUUAAUACAAGAUGUUAUCAUGAGUAAGCAUUUUCGCAUGAUUAAAGGUUUACCGGUGUAAGAUGGGGAUGCGUUCCAUUAGAUAGUAGGCGGGGUAACGGCCCACCUAGUCUUCGAUGGAUAGGGGUUCUGAGAGGAAGAUCCCCCACAUUGGAACUGAGACACGGUCCAAACUCCUACGGGAGGCAGCAGUGAGGAAUACUGGUCAAUGGGCGAGAGCCUGAACCAGCCAAGUAGCGUGAGGGAUGAAGGCUC
This 398-nucleotide ribosomal RNA is filed under the name uncultured bacterium. RNAcentral describes it as "bacterial SSU rRNA". It matches the Rfam family "Bacterial small subunit ribosomal RNA", at positions 28 to 417 of the family's 1533-position model. The record is from RNAcentral.